Felis catus (domestic cat) is the source of this 85-nucleotide transfer RNA. It matches the Rfam family "tRNA". From Rfam's summary of the family: Transfer RNA (tRNA) molecules are approximately 80 nucleotides in length. Their secondary structure includes four short double-helical elements and three loops (D, anti-codon, and T loops). Further hydrogen bonds mediate the characteristic L-shaped molecular structure. tRNAs have two regions of fundamental functional importance: the anti-codon, which is responsible for specific mRNA codon recognition, and the 3' end, to which the tRNAs corresponding amino acid is attached (by aminoacyl-tRNA synthetases). tRNAs cope with the degeneracy of the genetic code in two manners: having more than one tRNA (with a specific anti-codon) for a particular amino acid; and 'wobble' base-pairing, i.e. permitting non-standard base-pairing at the 3rd anti-codon position. Lineage: Eukaryota; Metazoa; Chordata; Mammalia; Carnivora; Felidae. The record is from Rfam.
GCCUGGGUGGCUCAGUCGGUUGAGCGACUGACUUCGGCUCAGGUCAUGAUCUCACAGUUUGUGAGUUCGAGCCCCGCGUCAGGCU